UGAUGGAGGGGGAUAACUACUGGAAACGGUAGCUAAUACCGCAUAACGUCGCAAGACCAAAGAGGGGGACCUUCGGGCCUCUUGCCAUCAGAUGUGCCCAGAUGGGAUUAGCUAGUAGGUGGGGUAACGGCUCACCUAGGCGACAAUCCCUAGCUGGGCUGAGAGGAUGACCAGCCACACUGGAACUGAGACACGGUCCACACUCCUACGGGAGGCAGCAGUGGGGAAUAUUGCACAAUGGGCGCAAGCCUGAUGCACCCAUGCCGCGUGUAUGAAAAAGGCCUUCGGGUUGUAAAGUACUUUCACCGGGGAGGAAGGUGUUGUGGUUAAUAACCACAGCAAUUGACGUUACCCGCAGAAAAAACACCGGCUAACUCCGUGCCACCAGCCGCGGUAAUACGGAGGGUGCAAGCGUUAAUCGGAAUUACUGGGCGUAAAGCGCACGCAGGCGGUCUGUCAAGUCGGAUGUGAAAUCCCCGGGCUCAACCUGGGAACUGCAUUCUAAACUGGCAGGCUGGAGUCUCGUAGAGGGAGGUAGAAUUCCCGGUGUAGCGGUGAAAUGCGUAUAGAUCUGGAGGAAUACCGGUGGCGAAGGCGGCCUCCUGGACAAAAACUGACGCUCACGUGCGAAAGCGUGGGGAGCA
Molecule: ribosomal RNA, 644 nt
Filed under: Enterobacter sp.
Lineage: Bacteria; Pseudomonadati; Pseudomonadota; Gammaproteobacteria; Enterobacterales; Enterobacteriaceae
Description: bacterial SSU rRNA
Rfam family: Bacterial small subunit ribosomal RNA
Source: RNAcentral